UACGGGAGGCAGCAGUGAGGAAUAUUGGUCAAUGGGCGGAAGCCUGAACCAGCCAUGCCGCGUGCAGGAAGACGGCCCUACGGGUUGUAAACUGCUUUUAUGUGAGGAUAAACCUAGAUUUGCGAAUCUAGCUGAAGGUAUCACAUGAAUAAGGAUCGGCUAACUCCGUGCCAGCAGCCGCGGUAAUACGGAGGAUUCGAGCGUUAUCCGGAUUUAUUGGGUUUAAAGGGUGCGUAGGCGGGCUAAUAAGUCAGCGGUGAAAUCACUCAGCUUAACUGAGUAACUGCCGUUGAUACUGUUAGUCUAGAAUAUAAAUGGUGCAGGCGGAAUGAAUCAUGUAGAGGUGACAUUCAUAGAUAUGAUUCAGAACACCGAUCGCGAAGGCAGCUUGCAAAGAUAUUAUUGACGCUGAGGCACGAAAGCGUGGGUAGCGAACAGGAUUAGAUACCCUGGUAGUCCACGCUGUAAACGAUGAUAACUCGUUGUCGGCGGUACACAGUCGGUGACUAAGCGAAAGCGAUAAGUUAUCUACCUGGGGAGUACGAUCGCAAGGUUGAAACUCAAAGGAAUUGACGG
Molecule: ribosomal RNA, 576 nt
Filed under: uncultured bacterium
Lineage: Bacteria
Description: bacterial SSU rRNA
Rfam family: Bacterial small subunit ribosomal RNA
Source: RNAcentral